Molecule: long non-coding RNA, 335 nt
Filed under: Lathyrus oleraceus (garden pea)
Lineage: Eukaryota; Viridiplantae; Streptophyta; Magnoliopsida; Fabales; Fabaceae
Description: Pisum sativum (pea) long non-coding RNA (PSAT_LNC031928)
Source: RNAcentral
UUUUUUGGUUGUAACAUGACUUAUGUCAGGGUGGGAUAAUUUUUGGAUAAUCUUCUUAAACCUUGGUGUUAGGUACCUUUUUAUCCUUCGUCAUCAUUUCCCUUUCAUAUCAUUCUUUCUUUCAUAUCGGGUACUAGAGAUUUUUCAAAUUUAUGGUCUUUUUUCUUAUCUUUUUUUCAAUUUUUUUGUUGAAAAUGCCAUGUUUUCGACAUCUUACUUUUUUUUCUUGCUUUUUAUUUUUCUUUGACCAAAUUUUCUAGUACCCCUAACCCCAAACUUAAAUGUUGCUAACUUCCAAGAGCAGCCCCAAAUUUAGUGAUUAGCAUAUAGAGAAA